This is a small nucleolar RNA of Gossypium raimondii (Peruvian cotton), 108 nucleotides long. It matches the Rfam family "Plant small nucleolar RNA R71". From Rfam's summary of the family: R71 is a member of the C/D box family of snoRNAs containing the C (UGAUGA) and D (CUGA) box motifs. Multiple nearly identical copies of this snoRNA have been identified in Arabidopsis, and it is thought to function as a 2'-O-ribose methylation guide for 18S ribosomal RNA. The record is from Rfam. NCBI's taxonomy places the organism in Eukaryota, Viridiplantae, Streptophyta, Magnoliopsida, Malvales, Malvaceae.
GUUACGGGAUAGGGGUGUUACACACAAUAACUCUUUGAAUCGCUCUCAUGCCUCAUAUAAAGAUUCUACAUCAAAUUGUUGAAAUGAAGAGAUUUCAUUCUGGAGCUU